This 225-nucleotide ribosomal RNA is filed under the name uncultured bacterium. RNAcentral's name for it is "partial 16S ribosomal RNA". It matches the Rfam family "Bacterial small subunit ribosomal RNA", at positions 109 to 334 of the family's 1533-position model. The record is from RNAcentral.
CGGAACACGUACAGAACCUUCCUUUAAGCGGGGGAUAGCCCAUAGAAAUGUGGAUUAAUACCCCAUAAUAUUAUUGACUGGCAUCAGUUGAUAAUUAAAGAUUUAUCACUUAAAGAUGGCUGUGCGGCUGAUUAGGUAGUUGGCGGGGUAACGGCCCACCAAGCCUGCGAUCAGUAACUGGUGUGAGAGCACGACCAGUCACACGGGCACUGAGACACGGGCCCG